Chelonoidis abingdonii (Abingdon island giant tortoise) is the source of this 519-nucleotide non-coding RNA. NCBI's taxonomy places the organism in Eukaryota, Metazoa, Chordata, Testudines, Testudinidae. The record is from the annotation of a RefSeq genome assembly.
AUGCUAGAAAUCAGCAACGUCCAAAAGACUGACUCUGGCAUUUACUACUGUGCAUUUGAAUACAGCAGCUACCUGAUCUUUGGGAAUGGAUCCACACUGAUUGUUGGAGACAGUUAUACCAACAGCAGCUGGGUGAUGCUUCUGGUCUCAUUUCCACAUGGCAGUCACGUCACUGAGACAGCGAAUCUGGCUUGUGUGUUCCAUGGAGUGUCCAGCCCAGUCCACGUUUCCUGGAGUGUUUCUGGGGAGCUGCAGGAACAGGGGCUGACACACUCACUGAAAGCAAAGGAUGGAUCAUUAACGCUCAUAAAUCACAUCAGCGUCCCCAUGGACACCUGGACCAGUGGGAAGAAUUUCACCUGUGAAAUCAAGUUCAACUCUUCUGGCACCAGUGUGAAGAAAAGUACCAGGUAUCCUGCAGCCCAUCCCAGCGGCUGUGUGCCACAGACAGUGCGCUAUGCAGUGGUGAUUUUCCUGGUGGUGUUGAUGGUGUCUUUGAGCCUGGCCUGGAGUCACUGA